GAGGCUGUGGUGUAAUGGCUUGCAUAUCACACUGUCACUGUGAAGGUUGGGGUUCGAAUCCCCCAGUCUCG
This 71-nucleotide transfer RNA is filed under the name virus sp. ctML55. RNAcentral describes it as "tRNA-Asp". It matches the Rfam family "tRNA". From Rfam's summary of the family: Transfer RNA (tRNA) molecules are approximately 80 nucleotides in length. Their secondary structure includes four short double-helical elements and three loops (D, anti-codon, and T loops). Further hydrogen bonds mediate the characteristic L-shaped molecular structure. tRNAs have two regions of fundamental functional importance: the anti-codon, which is responsible for specific mRNA codon recognition, and the 3' end, to which the tRNAs corresponding amino acid is attached (by aminoacyl-tRNA synthetases). tRNAs cope with the degeneracy of the genetic code in two manners: having more than one tRNA (with a specific anti-codon) for a particular amino acid; and 'wobble' base-pairing, i.e. permitting non-standard base-pairing at the 3rd anti-codon position. The record is from RNAcentral. Lineage: Duplodnaviria; Heunggongvirae; Uroviricota; Caudoviricetes; Metacrassvirales; Tripviridae.